GACCCAGGUGUGACCCAGGUGUGACAGGUGUGUCUCACAGCUGAUGGAGCUGAUCGAGCGCGUGGAGCGCCGGGUGUGUGUGACCCAGGUGUGACCCAGGUGUGACCCAGGUGUCCCAGGUGUGACAGGUGUGUCUCACAGCUGAUGGAGCUGAUCGAGCGCGUGGAGCGCCGGGUGUGUGUGACCCAGGUGUGACCCAGGUGUGACCCAGGUGUGCCAGGUGUGACCCAG
This is a long non-coding RNA of Vidua chalybeata, 231 nucleotides long. RefSeq lists it as uncharacterized. Lineage: Eukaryota; Metazoa; Chordata; Aves; Passeriformes; Viduidae. The record is from RefSeq and is a predicted model, not a curated record. The transcript has 3 exons.